UGGGGAAUAUUGGACAAUGGGGGGAACCCUGAUCCAGCCAUGCCGCGUGUGUGAAGAAGGCCUUAUGGUUGUAAAGCACUUUAAGCGAGGAGGAGGCUCUCUUGGUUAAUACCCAAGAAGAGUGGACGUUACUCGCAGAAUAAGCACCGGCUAACUCUGUGCCAGCAGCCGCGGUAAUACAGAGGGUGCGAGCGUUAAUCGGAUUUACUGGGCGUAAAGCGUGCGUAGGCGGCUUUUUAAGUCGGAUGUGAAAUCCCCGAGCUUAACUUGGGAAUUGCAUUCGAUACUGAGAAGCUAGAGUAUGGGAGAGGAUGGUAGAAUUCCAGGUGUAGCGGUGAAAUGCGUAGAGAUCUGGAGGAAUACCGAUGGCGAAGGCAGCCAUCUGGCCUAAUACUGACGCUGAGGUACGAAAGCAUGGGGAGCAAACAGG
This 430-nucleotide ribosomal RNA is filed under the name bacterium. RNAcentral's name for it is "partial 16S ribosomal RNA". It matches the Rfam family "Bacterial small subunit ribosomal RNA", at positions 355 to 776 of the family's 1533-position model. The record is from RNAcentral. RNAcentral also lists the same sequence under 3 other names.